This 507-nucleotide ribosomal RNA is filed under the name uncultured bacterium. Its description in RNAcentral is "partial 16S ribosomal RNA". It matches the Rfam family "Bacterial small subunit ribosomal RNA", at positions 28 to 507 of the family's 1533-position model. The record is from RNAcentral.
GACGAACGCUGGCGGCGUGCUUAACACAUGCAAGUCGAACGGGCCUUGUCCCCUUUUUUUUGGGGGUGGGGUUAGUGGCGAACGGGUGAGUAACACGUGAGUAACCUGCCCCUCACUUCUGGAUAACCGCUUGAAAGGGUGGCUAAUACGGGGUGUUCUGGCCUGCUCGCAUGGGUGGGUUUGGAAAGAUUCGACCGGGUUUUGUUGUUUUGGUGGGGGAUGGGCUCGCGGCCUAUCAGCUUGUUGGUGGUGGGAUGGCCUGCCAAGGCUUUGACGGGUAGCAGGCCUGAGAGGGUGGGCGGUCACACUGGGACUGAGACACGGCGCAGACUCCUACGGGAGCCAGCAGUGGGGACUACUGCACAAUGGGCGUAAGCCUGAUGCAGCGACGCCGCGUGAGAGAUGGAGGCCUUCGGGUUGUGAACCUCUUUCGCCAGUGAAGAAGGUCCUGCUCUUUGUGGUGGGGUUGACGGUAGCUGGGUUAAUGAAGCGCCGGCUAACUACGUG